This 1601-nucleotide ribosomal RNA is filed under the name Triticum aestivum (bread wheat). RNAcentral describes it as "partial small subunit ribosomal RNA". The record is from RNAcentral. Lineage: Eukaryota; Viridiplantae; Streptophyta; Magnoliopsida; Poales; Poaceae.
GAGAACGGAACAACGAACAACUCUUUUCUGUCCCAAUUAUUUGACCUCUCUCUGUCUCUCCCUCUCUCUCUGCCCCUCUGGAGACUUUUGGUGGGCGGGGUAACCGCUACGCUAUCAGGGGGAGGUGGAGGUGGUGGCGGGCGGGGGGCCGGGGAGCCCCAGCGGCGGCAGCGGCGACGGGGGAGGCAGGAGCGGCCCCGUAGCGCGCGGCGACAGAGGCGGGGCGGGGGCGGCCUUUCGAGCUCAGAACCCGGCCGGCCGGCCGGCAGGCAGGCAGGGGAGACUGACUAACUAACUCUAGGCGCGGGCCUCGGCGCCUUAGCGCGUACUAGAUCGUUACCUCGGCAGCCUAGACUUGUGCGUGGACGGCGGCGCCUUCGCCGACGACCGCCCCGAGGCCUGCCGCCGGCGCCGGAGAGGGACGCUGCGGCGGCCCGGGCUCGGGCGCGGGCUCGGCGGGAACGAGGACGGGCUGCCGGAGCGGCGGGCGGAGGCGCGGUACGGCGGCCGGUCGUGCGUCGUCCUCUAGUAGGUCCGGCGGGUCGCGCGCCGGCUGCGACGGCGGCGGCGGCGCCGGCGGCGGGCCCGCCGACGACAGCUGUUCCGCCGGCACCGGCGGUCCCGAUCCCGACGGCGGUCCCGACGGUACCUCAAGGAGCUGAGGGAGACGUAGCGACCGUGCAGGUCUUUACCCUAGGUCGACGAGUUUGGCUUUAGGUUCUUCUUUGUACACGUCCAGUUCGAGGACAUGUCCGGCGGGAGCAGGUUACCGGCCCGCUAGCUCCCACGUCUUCUCCGACACCCGCCACUACGGUGAGGGUCCGGCGUAGCAGCCGCGUCCCUCUCGCUGCUCCUCCAGCGAGCGUUCGACGUGGCGCACUACUUAUCGAGCGGGGCCUAAAGGAAGUGGCCUGGGUUCUCUGGGGCACCAUAACGGCUACCCUUUCUACCCAAGGUAUCACUACCCCCACCCCCACUACGAACGUUACCAAGGAGCUACGUGUGCGGUUGACUCCAACCAAAGCAAUUGCCUCCUUCGAGACAUCCCUUUAGGCCACUCUCUUGAUAGAUGAGAAGGUUCUAAUCCCGAGGCCUGCUGCUGCCACUUCUCAUAGGAACCUUGUGACGUUUCUCGUCGUCCGUGUAACGACUGUUACCUCUACCUUAGCCUUUGGAUUCGCGACCAGCCUUUCACUUCUAGUUCUCCUUCGUCGACAAAAACUUGGUGGUAAGAUUGCCACUUGUCUCUCUUCUCCUAUUUCUUUGUCUCGUUAGGUCUCUAGGAGGGUAUCCUAUGACGUUGCUCGAGUUCAGGUUGCCGUGUCUUUUCGCUGGACCAAAGCGUCUGCUGCGUUCCCGUCGUCGUGGACCACCGCCGCUACUAGGGCGUGGCUGGUUCUAGUGCAGGCACACCUUCAAGUUCUUCAAGUUUGGCCGCAACAGCAGCGUGACGAGGAGGCUGUCGUUCUACAACACAAGGAGGUCAAGACGCCGACUUUGGAGACGAAGGCACUUCCGACUAAUCACUCUCUCUCAUGUACAUUACCAGGACUAGAGGAGUCCACUGUGUAAUUCGGUCGUCCUGAGUUGUGGUACAAGAC